UCGAGGAUCUUUAGCAAUGGGCGAAAGCCUGACUAUGCGACGCCGCGUGAGGGAUGAAGGUUUUCGGAUCGUAAACCUCUUUCGAUGGGAAAGAAUUCCCCUGGUAAGAAUAUGACUAGGGGUUGACGGUACCCAGAGAAGAAGCCACGGCCAACUCCGUGCCAGCAGCCGCGGUAAUACGGGGGUGGCGAGCGUUACUCGGAUUCAUUGGGUGUAAAGGGCAGGUAGGCGGCUAUGUAAGUUGGGGGUGAAAUCCUAAGGCUCAACCUUAGAACUGCCUUCAAGACUGCAUGGCUUGAGGCUAGAAGAGGAGAGUGGAAUUCCCGGUGUAAGGGUGAAAUCUGUAGAUAUCGGGAGGAACACCAGUGGCGAAAGCGGCUCUCUGGUCUAGCCCUGACGC
Molecule: ribosomal RNA, 400 nt
Filed under: uncultured bacterium
Lineage: Bacteria
Description: bacterial SSU rRNA
Rfam family: Bacterial small subunit ribosomal RNA
Source: RNAcentral